This 494-nucleotide ribosomal RNA is filed under the name uncultured bacterium. RNAcentral describes it as "bacterial SSU rRNA". It matches the Rfam family "Bacterial small subunit ribosomal RNA", at positions 30 to 518 of the family's 1533-position model. The record is from RNAcentral.
UGAACGCUAGCGACAGGCCUAACACAUGCAAGUCGAGGGGCAGCACAAGGAGCAAUCUGAGGUGGCGACCGGCGCACGGGUGAGUAACACGUAUGCAACCUGCCUGUAAGCGGGGAAUAACCCGUUGAAAGACGGACUAAUACCGCAUAAUACUAAAUUACUGCAUGGUAAUUUAUUUAAACAUUUAUGGCUUACAGAUGGGCAUGCGCAUGAUUAGCUAGUUGGAGAGGUAACGGCUCCCCAAGGCAACGAUCAUUAGGGGUUCUGAGAGGAAGGUCCCCCACACUGGUACUGAGACACGGACCAGACUCCUACGGGAGGCAGCAGUGAGGAAUAUUGGUCAAUGGACGAGAGUCUGAACCAGCCAAGUCGCGUGCAGGAAGAAUGUCCCUAUGGAUUGUAAACUGCUUUUGCAGGGGAAUAAAGUGCAUCACGUGUGAUGUUUUGUAUGUACUCUGCGAAUAAGGAUCGGCUAACUCCGUGCCAGCCGCUGC